RNAcentral lists this long non-coding RNA (214 nucleotides) under Mytilus galloprovincialis (Mediterranean mussel). The record is from RNAcentral. Lineage: Eukaryota; Metazoa; Mollusca; Bivalvia; Mytilida; Mytilidae.
GUUGGGUUGAUGUUUAGACGAGUUGUAUAUACAUUAUGUACACAGCCAUGUAUCACCAUCAUUGAUGGCGAUCCGAUGGAUACAUCUGUUGUAGGGUUGUCACUGACUCAGACGUACUUAUGAAUAUAAUUAUUUUCUGUGACUGUAUCUUACAUUAAUUUGUAGGAUCCUUUACUAUAGAUAAUUCAGCUGAUCUGUAACAAUAACAUCUUCA